AAAUGGAUUCUGGCAGUUUAGAAGAACCGUCGCCGCUAUGUUAAUAUUUGAAUCCUUGCGGCCGUUCAAAAGCAACCGUCGAGAAGUCGACAAACCCGCGCUAUUUCACUUCUUCCCCCUUUUUUCAGAAUUUCUUCAAUCCCACAACCUUCGAGCUUCAAUCCCUAAAUCAGAUUCGUUUUCAAGCUUAUUCAAUCCCUAAACCCU
RNAcentral lists this long non-coding RNA (207 nucleotides) under Trifolium pratense (red clover). RNAcentral describes it as "long non-coding RNA (TPRA_LNC011579)". Lineage: Eukaryota; Viridiplantae; Streptophyta; Magnoliopsida; Fabales; Fabaceae. The record is from RNAcentral.